RNAcentral lists this long non-coding RNA (35478 nucleotides) under Nicotiana benthamiana. Its description in RNAcentral is "long non-coding RNA (NBEN_LNC021413)". The record is from RNAcentral. Lineage: Eukaryota; Viridiplantae; Streptophyta; Magnoliopsida; Solanales; Solanaceae.
AGUUCGUGACUCACAGCAUCAUAUUGGAAGCUCUUUUGGUAGCAGCAGUCCCAUAUUAGUGCAGUAGAGAAGUGGUGUAGCUCUAGUUGCAAUUAGUUGCCAAAAUGGACAUAGUUUCCUCUUUUAGGAUUAGAUCUGAAAUGUUGAUUGCUACACAUAGUAGAUUCACUCUAUUUGAGUUUCAUGUAAGUCAAUCCUUUUGACUAUUACAAAUGUAUUGAGCCAUAAGGCAGUAAUUGUUUCAUUAUGCAUGGGAAGAAGGGCACUCUGUUUAUUACAAGGGUUACAUGUAAGAUCCUCCUCAAGUUGAACUCGCUAAUGAAGAGAUGAAAGGGUUUGAUUAAGGCUGUAUGUAGAUACAGAAAUCAAUCCUUUGAUAAUACUGACACAAAGUAUUUUAAGAGAGCUAUGACUAUUGAUCGUUAGUUCAUUUUUAAUGGCCUAGCAAAAUUUUAGGUGAUUCAGAUCCGGUAGUCCAGAUUCUGGCAAGGAUUAUAGCACACAAAAAAUUGAAAAUUAGCAAGAAUUCUAGUUUUUUGGCCCUAAAAUGCCAAAAACGUGGAGCGGUCUAGCCAUAACUAUUGUUCAUUAGGUCAUCUGUGAUAGUCCAACAAAAUUUUAGGCGAUACAGAUCCGGUAACACGGCUUAGAUGGGUUGGUCAUGUGAGGAGGAGUAGCACAGACGUUCUGGUAGAGAGGUGUGAGAGAUUGAUAUUGGAGGGCCUUAGGAGAGACAGAGGUAGGCAGAAGAAGAGACAGGGGGAGGUGAUUAGGCAUGACAUAGCACAGCUACAGCUGACCGAGGAUAUGACCCCUGACAGGAAGGGGGAGGUGAUUAGGCAUGAGAUGGCGCAACUACAAUUUACCGAGGAUAUGACCCGUGAUAGGAAGGUGUGGAGGUUGAAGAUUAGGAUAGUAGCUUAGCUAGUCUAGAUUAUUCAUACAGGUAGCGUUAGUACGUACUCUCUCGCAUUUGGUUGGAUAAGGCUGUAUUUUGGUUCGGGCCUAAACGGGCCGGGCCAAAUAGGCCUGGACUUUGGCGGUCCGGGUCCUAACGGUCCUCGGCGUAACGGGUCAAAUGAGUGGAACCAGCCUACUGCGGUCCUAAGCCCGCAUGGUCCCUGUGCUAAAUGGGCAGGGCCCACGGUCCUAAACGGGCUAUUUUUAUAAAAAAGAUUUAUCUAAGGCAAUUUCUUGUAAGCUAUAUAUGUAUAUACUAAUAUAAAUUUCUUAUAUAUAUAUAUAUACAUAUAUAUAGUUCAAAUUAAAGUUUACAUUUAAUACUUAAAAUUAAAGUUCAAUACCUUCAACAUAAUACUUCAAAUUAAUCUAACAACUAGAGCAUUAAGCAUAAUACGUCUAAUAAUUUUAAAAUAACACAAACUGCCUCAGAUCAACUUAAAAUCUUAAAUAUGAAUGUCUGGAGAAUGCGCAAGAAAACUCUUUAUAUGCCUCCUUAAAGAGCAUGUGCGCUCCUUUCAACGACAAGUGUAGACUCGACUACAGUUCUUGCACUUUAUUAUGUAAACUUAUUUUUCUUCUACCACAUUAAAGUGUUCCAAAACAAAUGGGUGCAGUCUAGAAUUAUCGGACAUGAUUUAACUUGAAUUAAGAAUUUGAGCUUGAGAAAUGAGAGAUGAGUGAAAACUUGAAUACUUCAAUUUGAGUUUGAGAAAUGAGAGAGAUUGAUGAAUUUGUGAGUAAAAAUGAAAUAAUGAGGAGGUAUUUUACUUGAGAAUAGAGAAAAAGUAUAAUUAUAAAAAGUUUGGGGUUAAAACAAAGUUUGGGGGCCAAAUGGCUAAUUUUAAAAGUGCCAAACGGCGAAAAAUAAAGGCCAACAACUACAUUCUAAAACUGUGACCGUUGGCCCUUUUUAAAAAAAAUUACCGUUGAGCCCGGUUGAACCGGCCUAGGCCCACUUGUCGGUCCCGAGCUAAAUGGUCCCGGACUCGCGGGCUUUUUGGUAAGGACCGGCCCGCUGUGGACUUUUUGCACCACUAGAGACCGGCCCGUUUAAACCGACUCAUUUGGCCCGCGAUCCCCGGUUGGGCCCGGCCAACGAUACAUCCUUAUGUUGGAAGUAGGCUUAUUUGAAUACCAGUCGUUUACUUUUCGUUUUUACAUUUCGAUCAUCUUACUAUCUUGUUGUGUAUGAUGCUUUUACAUAGUUUUUCGGUGUUGUCCCGUCUUGUUUCUUGUUAUUAUUGCGGUACCUAGAGCCCGUUUGGAUGAGCUUGUUGUAAGUGACUUUUAAGUCAAAAGCCAUAAGUUAGGAAUUCUAGCUUUUGACUUUUGACUUAUUUUUGUCAUUUUAGCUUAAAAACAAUUGCUUAGAAGUACUUUAUUUCUUUUAUUCAAACACUACAAAAUGACUUAAAACUAUUUAGGUUUAAAAGCACUUAAAAUAAGCCAAUCCAAAUGGGAUACUAUGCUUGCCUGAGCGGAGAGUCUAUUAGAAACAGCCUUUCUACCUCCACAAAGGUAGGAGUAAGGUCUGCGUACACACUACCUUCCCCAGGUCCAACUGCGUGGUAUUAUACUGGAUAUGUUGUUAUUUGUUGUUUGUUAUUGUUGUUGGAUCUGGUAACCUGGAUUCAUGCAGAUGGCGUUGACUAUAUCAUAGUAAAAUUUGGAAAUCGGCCCGAAUUCAAGUUUUUUGGCCCUAAAAUGCCAAAACGAGAAAAGGUCAUGCCGAAGCCAUAAAUAUUGUUCAUUAGGUCAUUUCUUAUGGCCUCGCAAAAUUUUAGGCAAUUCGGAUUUGGUAGCAGGAUUCAUGCUGAUGCCGUAGACUAUAGCACACAGAAAUUUGAAAUCGAUCCAUAUUCCAUUUUAUGGCUCUAAAAUGCAAAAAUAAGGGAAUAAUCAUACCUAAUCCAUGACUAUGGUUCAUAAGGUCAUUUUUUAUGGCCCAACAAAAUUUUAGGCAGUUCGGAUCCGGUAGCCAUGAUUCAUGUAAAUGGUGUCGACAAUAGCACACGAAAAUUUAGAAAUCAGCCUGGAAUCUACCUUUUGGCCCUAAAAUUCCAAAAAUGAGGAACAAUCGUGCAGAAUCCAUGACUAUUUUUCACUAGGUCAUUUUUUAGCCCAACAAAAUUGUAGGAGAUUUGGAUCUGGUAGCUUGGAUUCAUGAAGAUAACAUGGACUAUAACACACGAAAAUUGGAAAUUGGCCCAAAUACUUUUUUUUGAUUGGCCCAAAUUCUUUUGCCAAAAAAUGAGGCAGUCAUACCGAAUCCAUGACUAUUGUUCAUUAGUUCAUUUUUAAUAUCCCCGCAAAAGUGAUUCGGAUUCGGUAUCCCGGAUUAAAGUAGAUGGUAUGGAUUAUAGCACACGAAAAUUUGAAAAUCGGUCUGAAAUCCAGUUUUUUGGAACUAAAAUGGCAAAAAGACAAGGAACGAUUAUUCCAUGACAUAACUAUUGUUCAUUAGGUUAUUUUUUAUGGCCCCACAUAAUUUUAGACUAUUCAGAUUUGAUAGCCCAGAUUCACAGAUGACAUGAACUAUAUCACACGAAAAUUUAGAAAUCGGCCAAAAUUUUAGUUUUUUGGCCCUAAAAUGCCAAAAAGUGAGAAACAAUAAUGCCCAGGCCAUGAAUAUAGUUAAUUAGAUCAUAUUUGAUGGCCCAACAAAAUUUUAAAGGAUUCGGAUCAGUUAGCCAGGAUUCAUGCAGAUGGCAUGGUCAAGAGCACAUGAAAUAUUUGAAAUCAACCCGCGUUCUAAUUUUUUGGACCAAAGAUGCCAAAAAAUGAAAAAUGGUCAUGUCGAAGCCAUGAAUAUUGUUCAUUAGGUAAUUUUGAUAGCCUAACAAACUUUUAGAUAAUUCGGAUCCAGUAGCAUUCGUAUAGAUGGUGUAGACUAUAACAUACAAAAAUUUUGAAAUCGGCUCGAAUUCUAGUUUUUUGGAACUAAAAUACCAAAAAAUGAGGAACAGUCAUGUCGAAGCCAUGACUAUUAUUCAUUAGAUUAUUUUUCAUGGCCUUGCAAAAAUUUAGGCGAUUCAGAUCUCCUAGCCCAGAUUCAUGCAGAUGGCAUAGACUAUAGAAAAUUUGGAAAUCGGCACGAAUUCUAGUGUUUUCGCCCUAAAAUGCCAAAAAUAAGGAACGAUCAUUCCAAAGCCAUUACAAUUAUUUAUUAGAACAUAUUUUAUGUUCCCGCAAAACUUUAGGCGAUUCAGAUUUAAUAGUCCAGAUUCAUAUAGAUGGCGUGUAGACUAUAGCACAUAAAAAUUAUUCUAGCUUUUUUGCCGUAAAAUAAAAAAUGCCAUAAAACGAGGAACGAUCAUGCCGAAUCCAUGCCUAUUAUUUAUUAGGUCAUUUUUGAUAAUCCCGAAAAAUUUUAGGAGAUUCAAAUCCGGUAGCCCGGGUUCAUGCAGAUGGCAGAUGGCACACGAAAAUUUGGAAUCGGUCCAAAUUUCAUUUUUGACACUAAAAUGCCAAAAAGGUGGAACGGUCAUGCUGAAUCCAUGCUAUUGUUCAUAAGGUCGUUUUUAUUGUCCUAUAAAAUUUUAGCCAAUCCUGAUCCGGUAACCCAGAUUUAUGCAGAUGGCGUGAACUAUAGCACAACAAAAUUUAGAAAUUGGUCCGAAUUCUAGUUUUUGUCCCUAAAAUGUCAAAAAACGAGGCAGCCAUGCCAAAUCUAUAACUAUUGUUCAUUAGGUUAUUUUUGAUAGUCCCACAAAAGUAGUUUAGAUCCAGUAGCCCGGAUUCAUGCCUAUUAUGUGGACUAAUGGCAAACGAAAAUUUAAAAAUCGGUCUGAAUUCCAAUUUUUUGGAACUAAAAUAGCAAAAAAUAAGGAAUGAUCAUGCCGAAGACAUGACUAUUGUUCAUUGAGCCGUAAGUUCAUUUUGAUGGUCCCACAUAAUUUUAGACUAUCCGUAUUCGGCGUGAACCAUAGCACACAAAAAUUUAAAAAUCGGCACAAAUUCCAGUUUUUGGCCCUAAAUGCCAAAAAAAGAGGAACGAUCAUACUGAAGCCAUGACUAUUGUUAAUAAGGUCAUUUUCAAUGGCCCUGCAAAAUUUAAACGAUUCAGAUCCGGUAGCCUGGAUUCAUGUAGAUGGCAUGAACAAUAAUACACGAAAAUUUUGAAAUCGAUCUGAAUUCUAUUUUUUAGCCCUAAAAUGCCAAAAAACAAAAAAGGUCAUGCCGAAGCCACGACAAUUAUUCAUUAGGUUAUUUUUUAUAUCCCCAUAAAAUUUUAGGCGUUUCGCAUCUAGUAUUCAUGUAGAUGGCAUAGUCUGUAACACAUGAAAUUUUGAAAUCGGCUCGAAUUCUAGCUUUUUGGAACUAAAAUGCCAAAAAGUGAGGAACGGUCAUGCCGAUUCCAGGACUAUUGUUCAUUAGGUCAUUUUUUAGGACCUUACAAAAUUUUAGGCGAUUCAGAUUCGGUAGCCCAGAUUCAUGCAGAUGACAUGGACUAUAGAAAAUUUUGACAUCAAAACAAAUUUUAGCUUUUUGGCCCUAAAAUACCAAAAACGAGGAACGAUCAUGCCAAAUGCAUUACAAUUGAAUAAAAUUUAAGGCGAUUUGGAUCCAGUAGUCUGGAUCAUAUAGAUGGCGUAAGCAUAACACACGAAAAUUUAGAAAUUGACCAGAAUCUAGCUUGUUGGUCCUAAAAUACAGUAAAAGGGAACGGUCAUGCCGAAUCCAUGACUAAUGUUCAUUAGGUACUUUUGAUAGACCCACAAAAUUGUAGUAGAUUCGGAUCCGUUAGCCCGAAUUCAUGCAGAUGUCAUAGACAAUAGAACACAAUAAUUUGGAAUCGGCCCGAAUUCUAUUUUUUUUGCCCUAAAAUGCCAAAGAGGUGGAACGACCAUGCCGAAUCCAUGACUAUUGUUCAUAAGGUCAUUUUUACGUCCCAACAGAAUUUUUGGCGAUUCAAAUCGGGUUGUCCGAAUUCAUGGCGUGGACUACAACAUACAAAAAGUUUAAAAUCGGCCCGAAUUCUAGGUUUUUUGCCCUAAAAUUUAAAAAAAGGAGGAAUGGUCAUGCCGAAGCCAUUACUAUUGUUCAUUAGGUCUUUUUUGAUAUCCCUAUAAAAUAUUAGUCGAUUCUAAUCCAGUAGUAUGGAUUCAUAUAGAUUGCAUAAAUAUAGUACACAAAAAUUUAGAAAUUGGCCCGAACUCUAGUUUUUAGCCCUAAGAUGACAAAAAAGAGAAACAAUCAUGCCGAAGCCAUGACUAUUAUUCAUUAGAUAUUUUUUGAUAGCCCUGCAAAAUAUUAGGCGGAUCGGAUCUGGUAGCUUGGCAUAUAGUUGAUGUGGACUAUAAUACAAAAAAGGUUAUGCCGAAAUCGUAACUAUUGUUCAUUAGGUCAAUAGUCUCACAAAAUUUUAAAAUAUGCCAGAACUCUAGUUUUUUAGUCCAACAAUGCCGAAACAUGGGCUAUAGCACACGAAAAUCUAGGAAUCGAGUAGAAUUAUAGUUUUGUGGCCCUAAAAUGCUAAAAGAAAUAAGGAACGGUCAUGGCGAGGCGAUACCUUCUUUUCUUAGGUAGUUUUUGAUGGCCAGCAAAAGCUUUGGCGAUCCGGGUCCCAUCGCCUGGGCUGAUGCAGAUUGCGUGGGCUAUAUAACACAUAGAAAUUUGAGAAUCAGCGAAAUUCUAGUUUUAUGGCCCUAAAAUUCCAAGAAACGAGGAACGAUCAUGGCAAGGCGAUGACUAUUGUUCCUAUUACAUCCCAUACUUUAAUAUUACGAUGGGGCGUAGUAAUCCAUAUGAGUUUGAAAGAAUUAAGACCAUUCAUGAGAUUAUAGAGAAUUUGUGACUAUGUUAUUGUAAGACCCGUAAGAUUAACAACCUUGAUCUAUUAUAUAUAUUUGAUAUGGUAUUUUGAGGUGAACAUUUUUGUAAAAAAACUUUUUUUAUAUAGUUAUUAAUAUUACUACUUUCGAAUAUGCUUUAAAUUAUACACACAAUAUGAGAAAGUUUAUGAGAUUUUCUUUAUUGCAAAGAUAGAAAUAUUUUUUUCACAAGAAAAGAAGGUUAUUUUUUUACCAUUUUAAGAAUUAAGUGCACGAAAAUUAUGUACUCUUUUUAUAAGAUUAGGAAAAUUAGAAGUUGAGAAAAUAUAUGUGUUUUUACAUGGAUGUUUUAAUGAAAUAAUAGUGUAUGUAAUGAUUUUAUAUGGUACUAUACUUUAUUAAUAUUUUAAUAUUUUAAUAGUAGUACUGUAUGAUGAGAACAAGAUUAUUUUUGAGUUUAUAAGUAUUUAUGUUAUUUCAAACAAGUGAUAAGUAAAUUCAUCAAGGUGAGAGGAUAAGAAGAUCGAACAAAAUGAGUUUCGUCGAAGUUUAACAAUUUAGGAUAAAAUACGAUCCAAGCUAUAAAACCCGUGUAACGACCCGGCGGUUCAUUUUGAGAGUUAUAGCCCUAAUCCCAUAUUUACUACGUUUCCCGUAUUUUUUAUGCUUACGUGACUUGCAUGGAGGUUUCGUUUUGGUUUUUGAAAUUUUUUUGGACACUUAGUCCCUAAACGGAGCCUUAAGUCUUAGGGUUUUAGACUUUAGUCGAACUAUGUGAAGACGAAGUUAGAAUGGAGUUUCAUCGGUUCUGUUAGCUCCGUUGGCUGAUUUUGGACUUAUGGGCGUGUCCGGAUUGUGUUUUGGAGGUCUGUAGCUUAUUUAGGCUUGAAAUGGCGAAAGUUUAAUUUUUGGAGAUUUUGACCAAUAACAGACUUUUUAUAUCGAGGUCAGAAUCAUAUUCCAGAAGUAGGUCUGUAAUGUCAAAUAGAACUUGUGUGCAUAAUUUGGGGUUAAUAGGACGUGAUUUGAUAGAUUUCAGCAUUGGCUGUGUAUAUUUGAAGUUUCAAGUUAUGUUUGAAUUGGAGGGUGAUUCGUGAUUUUAGCAUUGUCUGGUAUGAUUUGAGGUCUAGACUAAGUGCGUAUGGUGUUUUAGGACUUGCUGUUAUAUUUGGUUGAUGUCCUGGGAGCCUCGUGUGUGUUUCGGAUGCUCAACGAAUCAUUUUUUACUUGGGAAAAGUUGUAAAAAAAUCUGGUGUUUUUGGUGUCUGGUUUCAUUCUACGCCUUCGCGAAGAUUCUCCCGCGUUCACGUAGAGGAGUUAAGUGUUGCUGAGGUUUAAGCCUUUUUUCGUUCUCGAAGCUAUGGAGCUUUGGGUUUACGCGUUCGCAAUAGGUGUUACGCAUUCGCGAAGGAGAGUGGUCAGAAGGGGUCCAGGCUUUUAACCUACGCGAUCACGAAGUCCUGCACGUAUUCGCUAAUGGUCUGGCAAGUGAAGCUACGCGUUCGCGAGAGGACAUUCGCGUUCACAAAAGAGGAAUUUUUGGUCAAUGAUUUUUGUUCAGUGCGAACUCGAAAAAGGAAUUAACUCGGAAAGAUUAUAAAAUUUUAAAAAUGAGGGUUUGACCAUUUUUAUCAAAUUUGAGGUUGGGAGCUCGAAUUUGGACGAGAUAUGAGGGAUUUUUAGAGACAUCGAUUGGAUAAUGAUUCUACACUUGAUUUUGGUUAUAUUCCACUAAUCUAUCAUUAAUUUCAUCAAAUAAUUUUGGAUUUGAGUUGAAACAUUAGGAGAAACGGGAAGAAGUUUUUUGACUAUAAUUUUGGGUUUUGAUUGGCAUUUUGAUAACGGAUUUUGAUAAUUUUGGUACGAGUGAAUGGAUGUUCAUAUUUUGUGACUUUUAACCGAUUCCGAGACGUGGGCUCGAGGAGACUUUUAGGGAGAUUUUCUAAUUUCUUGCUUUAGCUUUGAGUUUUAUUAACUAGAUUAGUUUCUUAUAGUUAGAUUUUGAUAUGUAAUUUAUAUUGGCUAGAUUGGGGCCAUUUGAAGUCGGAUAUUCGUGAAAAAGGCAUUGUUACCGAUUGAUUGAUCUUGGUUCGAGGUAAGUGGCUAACCUUGUGUUAGGGAACUCCCUUUAGGAUUUUGUACUAUUUAGAUAUGUGAGCGCCAUGUACGUGAGGUGAUGAGCGAGAACAUAGGUUUGUUGUAAAAUCCAAUUUUUACUAAGUAAUAACCUGUUUCUUCUUAUUUGAGUACUAUUAGUAUGUGUAGUUAUCUUGAUUAGCUUAGAAUAGCAUAUCUACAUGUCUUAAAUACUUAUCUGAACUCUGCGCAGCAUGCCUAGAGAAUUUUCCUACUUUUCUCUUGACUUGUACCCGGUCUAGACUGUAGGAUCUCUUCUGUAACUGUUAUUUUCAUUGUUUGAGCUGCAUAUUUAUUUUGGGACUAUGAAACGGUAUUCCGGGAGAUCCCCCUGCACAUUUACUUUGGGACUACGGAAUGAUAUACCGAGAUAUCCCCUUGCAUAUUUACUUUGGGACUAUGGAACAGUAUUUCGGGAGAUCCCUACACAUUUACGUUUGGGACUACGAGACGGUAUCUCGGGAGAUCCCUUGUUGCUAUUUUGUGUUCUAUUUUGUUAUCCUUUAUGUGUUUUCCUUCCAGGUAAAUUUCAGUCUUUAUUUUACCAUAAUAUUUUUGUUCUGUCUUAUAUAUAUAUAUAUAUAUAUAUAUAUAUAUAUAUAUAUAUAUAUAUAUAUAUAUACACUCUCUCUCUCUCUCUCUCUCUCUCUCUCUCUCGCUNNNNNNNNNNNNNNNNNNNNNNNNNNNNNNNNNNNNNNNNNNNNNNNNNNNNNNNNNNNNNNNNNNNNNNNNNNNNNNNNNNNNNNNNNNNNNNNNNNNNNNNNNNNNNNNNNNNNNNNNNNNNNNNNNNNNNNNNNNNNNNNNNNNNNNNNNNNNNNNNNNNNNNNNNNNNNNNNNNNNNNNNNNNNNNNNNNNNNNNNNNNNNNNNNNNNNNNNNNNNNNNNNNNNNNNNNNNNNNNNNNNNNNNNNNNNNNNNNNNNNNNNNNNNNNNNNNNNNNNNNNNNNNNNNNNNNNNNNNNNNNNNNNNNNNNNNNNNNNNNNNNNNNNNNNNNNNNNNNNNNNNNNNNNNNNNNNNNNNNNNNNNNNNNNNNNNNNNNNNNNNNNNNNNNNNNNNNNNNNNNNNNNNNNNNNNNNNNNNNNNNNNNNNNNNNNNNNNNNNNNNNNNNNNNNNNNNNNNNNNNNNNNNNNNNNNNNNNNNNNNNNNNNNNNNNNNNNNNNNNNNNNCUCCCUAGUAGGGCCCUGACCUGACCUCAUCACCAUUCGAUCGAGAUUAGGCUUGGCACUUACUAGGUAUCAUUUUGGUGUACUCAUGACUCUUUUGCACAUAUUUUUGUGUGGUGAUCCAGAGACCUCCUACUAGCCUCGAGUUUAGUUGCACGAUUUCUGUUGUUCAGGUGACUUCAAGGUAUAUCUUCCACGUUCUCGGACCUCGGAGUCCCCUUCUAUUGUUCUCGUGUUGUUCCUCUUUUUAUUUCUUCUUGCACUGAUGUAUAGAACAAUUGAAUUUUUAGAAUCUUGUGGCUUACGGUGUUGCGGUUCUUCGGAGAGUUGAGUAUAUUUUGAGAGUUGAUUAUUGCAUAUGUCGAGCGGCAUCUCACAUGGUUAUUUACAUUAUCUGUUACUGUUAGUUGUUAACUUAUUUUAUGCUUUACAUUUUACUUUCACAAAUUUUAGGCUUACCUAGUCGUAGAGACUAGGUGCCGUCACGACAAAUUCAGGGAGGGAGAAUUUCGAUCGUGAAAAUCCGGUUUUUAUGGACUAGUGUAAUACAAGGUACUAUAUGACUAUGAUAAUAAUUUUUAUAAAGUAUGUUAAAAUUGAAUAGUAUUUUAAUUAAUUUGAGAUAAUUCUUAAUUACGUGGAUAACUGAUUAAUUGUAGGGAUAAUAAUGGUAUUAAAUAGGAUAAAGUGGAUACACUUUUUUUCUAUGGGAUGCGACAUGGCAUUAAGCUAGGCCAAGGUGGCACCAAUGUGCAUGAUGAGUCAUAACACAUAAGGUGCCUUGUUUACACAUGAAAUGUUCUUUGGAUAAUAACCUUGGUUUGGUUUCUUUAGUGGUAAUAUAACUUGGAGAAUAGAAAAUAAGUUAUGGCAUGCUUGCCACUCUAGAGAUAGACCAACAACGUUGGUACUGAUUAAUAGGUCUAAUGCAAUCUAUAUCUUUCUAUAUUGUGAAUAUUAGUCGAAUAAGAAAUAACGUGCUAUGAUAUUAAGAAAUCAUACAGAUUUUUUCCUACUUCGAUACGCCGUUAUGUGAUAUGUCGCAACUAACGUGUGUUAGAAGGAUUGUCAAGAAAAUCAACUCAAGUAUGUUAAGGCUAAUCCUUCCUUCUCUUUGGCAUGAUCCAAGUAACGAUACGUAAAUGUAACUUAUUUCAUAAAUGGUUCUACUCUUAGUAACUAAGAAGGUCUAUGUUGUUCAUUCCUCUAAAAUGAUAUUCAAACCAUGCAUAUGUAGUGCAGCCAGAGCACCCGAGUGAGCUGAUACAGACGAGCCACCAGUAGCUCCGGCGCACAGGAACCUAAGACACCUUGUACUACUACAUCAACUCUUCAGGAGACCCUUGCACAACUCCUAAGCAUGUUCGGUACUCUAUCUCAGACAUGGUUGAUUCCCCUUACUUCAGCCACAUCUCAGGCCAGGGAAGGAGCAUAGACUCCCUCCACCCGCACCCCAAAGCAAUAGGUGGAGGGAGUCCAUAGGUUAUAUCGGUGCCACCUAUAGCCCCCGUCUAGCCCAAGGGUAGGCCAGCAAUUUCAAAUGAAGAGCAACAUAGACUCAAGAGGUACAAGAAGUACCACCCUCCUACAUUCAAUGUCCUAGCAUUAGAGGAUGAUAAAGGAUUUCUGGAGGAGUGCUACAGUAUCCUCCGUAUUAUGGGCAUAACCGAGUCGAGUGGGCUUUCUUUUACUGCAUUUUAGCUUAGUGGAGCGUCCUAUUAGUGGUGGUGUGCUUAUGAGUUGGACAGUCCGGUUAAGGCAGCUUCCCUUACAUGGACUCAAUUCUCGGAUAUGUUUUUUAGAGAGUAUGUUCCUUAGAGCCUCAUAAAUGCAUGGCGUUCUGAGUUUGAGCAGAUGCGCCAUGAGGCUAUGACACUGUCUAAGUAUGUAGUUCAUUUUAGUGGCUUGGCUAGACAUGCACCGGCCUUGGUUUCUAUUGUUCGAGACAGGAUCCGCCAGUUUAUUGAGGAACUCCAUCCCUGCAUCCGGACUAGUAUGGACCAGGAGUUAGAGAUGAAUAUCUCAUACCAGCAGGUUGUGAGUAUUGUUAGGAUAGUGGAGGGCAUUGUUGCUCAAGAGAUGGAGGAGAGAGAGGCCAAGAGGUCUCAUGCCCCAACCGCAAUUCGACAUGGUAAGGGCUAUGUGAGUCGCCCUAUUUAUUUAGCUCUUCCAUCAACCAAUGGUGUUCCAGCCCCAUCUAGGCCUCAGAAGCCUUAUUAUGUGCCUCUAAUAUCUAGUGUGCCUCCUGUACGUGAUGUUUUUAGCUGUCAAUCCAAUAGACCUGGCUCGAGCUAGCUACAACAUCCAAGGCCUCCCAGAGCUUGUUUUGAGUGUUGCAAUUGGUAAGGAUUUCCCUAGACUUCUCAGCCACAACAUGCUCCACAGGGUCCUCAAGCUGUGAUUACAGCACCAACUGCUACCUACCGUGCUCAGCCAGCUCGAUGUGGAGGUUGGGGAGGUAAAUGUCUCCCUAGAGGGGGAGGCCAGGUCAGAUACUAUGCUCUUCCUGCUCAAAUAGAGGCAGUUGCUUCCGACUCUGUUAUUACAGGAAUUGUUCUGGUCUAUCAUAGAGAUACAUCGAUUCUAUUUGAUCCAAGCUCUACUUAUUCCUAUGUGUCAUCUUAUUUUGCUCCAUAUCUAGGCAUAUCCCAUGAUUCUAUAAGCUCUCCUAUUUAUAUGUCUACACCUGUAGGAGAUUCUAUUAUUGUUAACCAUGUGUAUCAGUCGUGUUUGGUUGUUAUUAAUGGUUUUGAGACCAGAGUCGAUUUAUUUUGCUUAGUAUGGUAAAUUUUGAUAUUAUCUUGGGCAUGGACUGGUUGUCUCCCCAUUAUGUUGUUCUUGAUUGUCAUGCUAAGAUCGUGACGCUGGCUAUGCCAGGCUUACUGAUGUUAGAGUGAAUAGGCACCUUAGAUUUCACUCCCAUUAGAGUUACUUCAUUUCUGUAAAGCUAAACGAAUGGUGGAGAAAGGGUGUGAUGCUUAUCUAGCUUAUGUGAAAGAUGUCAGUAUUUGAUACCCCUAUAGUUGAGUCUAUCCUGGUAGUGGGGGAUUUCCCUAAUGGUUUUCCAGUUGAUAUUCCGGGCAUGCCACCCAACAGAGAUAUCGACUUUGGUGUUGAUUUGUUAUUGGGCACUCAACCCAUCUCUAUUCCUCCAUAUAGUAUGGCCCCUCAUGAGUUGAAAGAACAAUUACAGGAAUUGCUUGAUAAGGGCUUUAUUCGGUCUAGUGCAUCACCUUGGGAUGUUCCUUUCUUGUUUGUGAAGAAAAAUGAUGGUUCUAUGCGUAUGUGCAUUGAUUAUCACCAGUUGAACAAAGUUACAGUGAAGAACAUGUAUAAUUUUCCUUGUAUUGAUGACUUAUUUGAUCAGUUACAGGGUGUCAUAGUGUUCUCCAGGAUUGACUAUGUUCAGGCUAUCAUCAGCUAAAAAUUUGAGAGCUAGAUAUCCCGAAGACUGCUUUCAGGACUUGGUAUGGUCCUUACGAGUUCCUUGUGAUGUCAUUUAGGCUGACCAAUGCCUCAGCAACAUGUAUGCAUUUAAUGCACAAUGUAUUUCGACCUUAUCUUGAUUCAUUGGUCAUUGUGUUUAUUGAUGACAUUCUGGUGUACUCUGGAGUUGGGAGGAUCAUGAGCAACACCUGAGGACUUUGCUUCAGGCCUUAAGAGAGAAGAAAUUAUAUGUAAAGUUCUCAAAAUGUGAGUUUUUGGUUGGAUUCAGUGGCAUUUUUGGGUCACAUAGUGUCGAGUGAAGGGAUCAAGGUGGAUUCAAAAUAGGUGGAUGCAGUGCAUAGUUGGCCAGACCAUCCUCAAAUACAGAGAUUCUAAGUUUUUUGGUUUGGCAGGGUAUUAUCGUCGAUUUGGUUAGGGAUUCUCAUAUAUUGCAACACCUAUGACCAGGCUGACCUAGAAGGGUGCUCUGUUCAGGUGGACAGAGGAGUAUGAGCAGAGCUUUCAAAAGCUCGUGACAUCUUGGAGUAAAGUCCCAAUAUUGGUAUUUCCUGUUAGUUCAGGAUCUUAUACUAUUUAUUGUAAUGCGUCAUGAAUUGGUCUUGGUGCAGUGUUGAUGCAGGAGCGUAGGGUGAUUGCUUAUGCAUCCAAACAAGUGAAGGUUCAUGACUAUCCAUGACCUUGAGUUAGAAACUAUUGUUCAUGCCUUGAAGAUUUUGAGGCACUAUUUGGUGUCCCUUGUGAGAUCUACACUGAUCACCGGAGUUUGCAACAUUUAUUCAAGAAGAAGUAUCUCAACUUGCGUCAGCAGAGGUGGUUAGAGAUGCUUAAGGAUUAUGAUAUCACGAUACAUUUUGUACCAUCCCAGGAAGGCUAAUGUGGUGGCCGAUUCCUUGAGUCUCAGGGUGGGGAGUUUGGGGAGCUUAGUAUAUUUGCUAGUAGUAGAGAGGCCAUUGACACUGGAUGUUCAGGCCUUAGUCAACCAGUUUGUUAGAUUUGAUAUUUCUAAGCCGAUUUGAGUUUUCUCUUGUGUGGUCUCCCGGUCUUCUCUUUAUGAUCAUAUCAGGGAGCGUCAGUAUGAUCAACCCCAUCUGCUCGUCCUUAAGGACAUGGUUCAACACGCUGUUGACACCCAAUUUUUUUCUAUAUAUUUUUAGUAUUCAAAAUAACUUCAAAAUAGCAUAUAUAUGCAAAUGUAAGCAUAUUCAAGUAUUUUAGUAUGUUUCCCAUAAUUUCAAAGGGGUUUCAAACAAUUUAUUUCCCUUUUUUAUUCAUAAAAUCCAAUAAUUAUUUCCAAAAUUGUUAUUUUUUGGCAAAUCAUCUAUUGGAUUUAAUAUUUAUGCUAAAAUAUAGCUAAGGUAAUUUUGGCAUGUUUUUACAAAUUUAUUUACUAUUUUUCAAAGCUAAAGUGCAUAAUUGCAAUAUUAGCCUAUUUUAGAUUUAGUGGUGUUUUAUAUUCAUUAAAUUAAGUCCUGUAUUUUUAAAUUGUUAAUUAUAUGUUAUAAAUCAUCUUUGUUCUUUCAAUUUAUUUUCAAAAAUUAAUUUACUAUUUUUAUAAUUUUAAAAGGGGAAAACUUGUCUAUUUAAAUAAUAUCCCAGUUACAUUUCAAUUAUAGCCUAAAUCCUAUCCAAUUUGAAUCCAAUUACCCCGGCCCAAUUCCCAUUCAAACCCAACCCCUAACCCAAUUUAAACGACCCAACCUGGAUUCCCAACCUAACCCCUUUAAUCCUAGUGGUUGAUCAUUUAGAUCAAUGGCCACCAUCCUUCCUUUCCUUUUUAACCCUAAACAACCCCUAAACCUACCUCAUUCUUCACCGAACGCUGCCCUUGAAUUCCCAUUUCUCUAAAUUCUCUUUGAAACCCCACCUGAACCCUAGCUGCCUCCCUCUAAUCCCACCCCAAUAUCUACCUUAUCCAUGGCAUUGGCUAUUGGUGUUGGACCCAACCUAUGUUCCAGCUCGUCACUACUUGCAACCUAAGGUUAGGUUUGUUACUUCCCAGUACAUGGGUUUAGUUGUACUGAUACUACGCUUUUUCGUGCAGAUGUUGGUUGUUUUUGUUGUUGUGUUCGAUGGUUAAUGGCUUUGAAGAUGUGCUUGCGUCCAUGUUGUAGUUGUCUUUUAUUCAUUGUAUCCUUAGAUUUAUAAAAAUGUACCUUUACCAAGACCCCACUUUGUGGGACAUUACUGGGUAGUUGUUGUUGUUGUUGUUAUCUAUGUACCUUCCAAACAGAAGAUGUAUUUACUUCUUAUCAGCUUCGUAAACUCUAUUCUUACAAGCUCAUAAUUAGUACUACCAGUCCUUGGGGUAAUGUAUAAAAAUCUGAAAAUUUCUUUUGUUUGAUUUUUCUUAUUAAUAUGAUUGAAAUUGGAUAGUUAAGAGUUGUCUUACCUAGCAGGUUGGGUUAGUUUCCAUCACGACCAGUGGAUUUUAGGUCGUGAUACCUUUUCGGGUCGCUAGGUGAAGGAGGAGGUGGAGGACCUCUUGGUCUAGUGUGGUAUGUUGAUGAUUCUAGCAUGCACGAACGAACCUUUGGGAACAAGAAUAGAUAAAGAAAUAAAAACAAAAAGGUAACCAAGUCAGUAAGGUAAAAUAAAAGCGUGUUUGCAAUAUCUAGACAUAUUUCACAAAAUUCAUGCAAUAAUUCGCGUCCUAAUUUGGGGACCUAAUUGUGCCUGAGGUAAUCCUAAGCGACACAUACACUUGGAGAAAAUUGAUGCCAAUGUUUGCUUCAUUUUGUUAAUGCAGAAAAAAAGCCAAACCAGCCUUCUACUAAAUCGACCAUAAUAAUAAAAUCGCUAAUGGCAUUAAUUCUUAUUACAUCGAAAUCUAAUCUAAACUAGAAAGAAGUAAAGAACAUCUUCUCCUAAUCUACUUGGUCCCUGAAGGACCUUCUCUAUGUUUGGCUCUCUUGACCCCCAUCAAUCAUGUUCCCCAGAUCACGCAUGUCCAACAAUAAAUAAGCUUUUGCCAGCUUUCCUCCUUCAUCGUCUACCAUUCCUUGACAAUCCCAAAGUCUCUUUCUUAUCUUCCCUUCUAGCUCCAUCAGUCUUUGAUCCAAGUAUUCUAAUCCCUCCAUUGACUUUGUGGCAAUCACUUUCCAUUCCCUUACUGCCUCCAUGUUUACUUUGUGUUGCUCUAGAUGCUUAGCUUUGUACUCGAACACCCUUUUGCGUAGCCUCUUGUACUUAACCUAUGCCGCAGUCACUUCAUCAUGAUCAUAUCCUUCAGAUUGACUCUUGGCUUAGCAUCCCAAACUACAUCGUCUUCCAUCCAUGAUAUAUAGUAAUACAUAUGACCAGGAUGAUACAUGUCUUGCUCAAUAGUUUCUCCUUCCACAAUGAUCUUUUGGUUCUACUUGUGUUGCACUUUGAACUUGAAUGGUAUGACAUCUCCCUUAAAAUCUGCCUUGUAUUGGACCAUGUUGGAAACCCGAGGUAUGACGUGUUUUCUUCCAACUUGUCUUAUUCGCAUCCUGAUCAGUACCAAGUGAGUAGUCCCUUUUUAUUGAUGAUGAACCACUACUUGGAAACCAUUCAAACAUUCAAUGCACCUGCUCUUCUGUCAAAUUGCUGAAGAAACGCACCUAACCUACAACAUUUCUAGGCUUUGAAAACCUAUCUGGAAUAAACGUCAUUUUCUUUGGGUGAUGGUUGGCUAUGUAGUCAUUUGGUGGCCUUCGCAGAAGCCGUUGAAGAUACUUACCCUUCUAAUAGUGUUCCAGCAACCAAUCUUGUAGCAAUAGAUUACAACCCUCAAAUUACCCAUGCUUGCACCAAUCUAGAGCACGGUACUUCUCAGCUAAGAUCAUUGGGAUAAUAGUAUAACUUUGUCUUUGAUGCCAUCCAUUAAGGUCCUGGCAACCAUGGCUAAGCAAGUAUGAAUCCUCUCUCGUUGCAUUAAAAAGAUCUAUAAUCCCAAGAAGCAGACAAUGGAAACAUAAACUUGGGGAUGCACCCAUCCAAAAGAAGUAAUAACUAGUUUAUCAUGAUGAAUACAAUAUGAUUUUCUAUGCCUAUAAUGCUCGUAAAGAAACUCAAAAGGCAUGUGUGAUUUCUUUAGACAGAGAAGUUCACCAUUCUUCUUAAAACCCAACAUUUUUAGAAAAUCGCGAGGAGUGCAAUUUUCUGGCAUUAUCAAUCUCGGACUAUCCCAUGGUAACUUGGUGAACCCCCCUAUUUCUUCCAGGAGAGGAUUCAUUUCUAUGUUGUCAAAUCGAAAAAAUAGCUCUUUUCUCGUCCCAGAACAUGGUAGCGGCCUCGUUCAAUUUUCUAUUUGGUCAAAUAUCCAGCAAAGAUGGCAGGUCACCAAGUACUUUCCUCACAUGAUUUCUAUUGAAAAGUGAAAGGUCUUUCCACUAAUAAAUUAUCAAAGGAGGGAUGUUUUGGAAUAUACCAAACUUGGGUUUCUGUGCUUCAUUUUCUAAAAACAAGCAAAGGUUAGCCUUUCCCCUUCCAGAUUUAGCUACUUACGCAAUAAUGAUCAACGUGUUGGCAUAUUUUCUCCAAGUAAUAAACAUCAUAUGAUAGUGUCGAUUAAGAUUGUGAAAAUCCUGUUGGACUUUGGACACGGUUUUAUUUAAGCGGGUUGAUUUGUCAAUGAUGUCUCAAUCUGUACUAGGUUUAGCAUGAUGCAUGCUCAUUUCAAAUCAAAGUGUGGUUUCCAGAAAGGUCUAGACUAGUACUCUCAUGUGGACAACUUAAGAGAGAAAGGAAGGGGACCAUCGACUGCACCGCUAACCGACUAGUCUACCACAUAUAUGUGACGACUCAAAAGGUCAUCAUCUAAUUUUUAUCCAUUCUUUGCUUUCGAGGCCUUGGAAACCUUAUUUAGAGUCGCCCUGAUUUGCGUGCGCAGUCCGUGCGCGUAGCCGGAAAGCUUAAAUGUGAAAUUCUAUGAAAAAUGCUAAAUUUUGAUAUUAACAUGAAUAAAUUUUAAUUUGGUCAACAUUUUGGGUAAACGGGCCUCGACCCAUGGUUUUAUGGUAUCGGAGGGUUCGUAUGAAAAUAUGGGACUCAGGCGUAUACCCGGAAUUGAAUUCCGAGGUCCCGAGCCCGAGAAAUGAAUUAUUAAAGGAAAUUGUUUUUCUGAAAUUGUUAAGGAAAAUUGAAAUGAAAAGUUAUUAGAACGUGUUGGUAUCGGGCAUGUAUAUUGGUUUCGGUGCCCGGUACAUAUCAUAUAUGUGAUUUAACGUAUUUUUGUAAAGUUUGGUAGAAAUCGGACGUCGUUUGACGUGUUUCCGCCUAAAAGUUCUUAAUUUGAAAGUUAAUGAAAUUUGAGGAAAAACUAGUAUUUUGAGGUUUGAUUCGUUAUUUUUUAUGUUAUUUGGCGAUUUGACCGCACGGUUAAGUUCGUAUGAUGUUGUUGAGCUAGUGCAUGUGUUUGGUUAGGAGCCCCGAAGGCUUGGGAGUGUAUUAGAGGUGUUUUGGAGUGGUUUCAAACAUAGAAAAAUUUGCAAAAUUGGCUUCGGCUGUUGCAGAAUAGCGUCGCAGCAUUCGCGUUCCCGUAGGGAUAUUUGACUAUGAGGGCUGAGUCUUCCUUUCCGUAGCGCGUUUGUGUAAGCAUACUUGCGUUCGCGUAGCUUUGCAAGAUUUCCUCUUCGCGCUCGUGUGCUAUCCCACGUGUACGCAUAGAUCAAUUUCAGGGCCACACCAUUUUUACUUUUGCGUUCGCGUGCCUCCUUCCGCGAACGCGAUGGUUUGUAAGUGCUGCCCUUGGUGGACAUGACUAGCCUAUCACGAACGCAAAGGGCAAUUUCGUCCAGUUAUAUUUUUAAUUUCCAAAAUAGUGUUGUUGUGGGAUUUUCAUAAACAUUCAUGAACUCCUUCUUCUCCAAGGUUCUUACGCGUCCAUUGGAGCUAUCCUUCACCAAAGACUUCUUGGGUUAGUAAUCCUUGCUUGUUUCCUUCCAUUUUAUUCAACAUCUAAUGAAUUCCUAAGGCUACACAUGUAAUUAAGCGUAGAAAUUGGGGAUUUGGGUAGAUUUAGGGCUUUUUAAUUUUUCUUGAUUUAGACCUCGUUUUGGGGUCGAAUUUAAAAACAAAUUAUAUACUCGAGCUCGUGGGUAAAUGGGUGAUAUGAUUUUGGUCCGAACCUCGUGUUAUGAUCAAGCAAGCUCGGGGUCAAUUUUUGGGAUUUUGGGAAGAAUGCUUGGAAAGCUAUAAUUAGGGGUUGGAUUAUAUUUUUUUAGCAUGUAUUGAUGUUAGGAAGUCGUUUAUGUAUAGAUUUGAUUGAUUUGGAGCCGAAUUCGAAAGGAAAGGCGAUUAUUAAGGAUUGAAUUGACCAUAAAAGUUUGCGGUAAGUGUAUCGUCUAACCUUUGCUUGAGGGAAUAGGAGUUGAGUCUUAUUUGCUACUUGCUAAUUAUCAAGUACGACGUAUAGGCAUGGUGACAAGUAUUUAUACGUUGGUGUCUAGCAUGACUGUGAAUCUUUAUAUUGCGAAUAUUCUGAUUUUUGUUGUAUCUUUCAUUCCUAAAUGAUGAUUCCUAUAUGUUGUAAAGAACAUGUGAAAGAAAUUAUGAUCUUUGAACUUCGAGGAGCAUUGGCUCGAAUGGUGAUACGAAUUGUGAAAGUAUAUGAGGUAAUUGAACCCUUUGGAGCAUUGUCUCAAGUGGUAAAGUGAGAUAUGAAGUAAAAGUGAAAUAAAAAAGAAAGAGUACCUAAAUUGUUCCCUUUGCCGGGAUAUUGUUUCUUAUUGAUCAUUUCCCUUGCCGGGACAGUAAGGUUAUUGAUGUUGUAUCCUUGCCGGGAUUUAAUGGCUUAAUUGUGUCCCUUGCCGGGACUUCUAUUAGUGUUUUGUUUACUCCCUUGCCCCUUGUUUGUGACUGUUAUUUGGGUGAGGAGGAGGUUAAAGCACGAAGGGUGAUGCCGUGUAUUGUUUUCUAUUGUGAGGAAAGAGUGUUAAAGCACAAAGGGUAAUGUCGUGCCGCACGAUGUACCAUUCCAUGCCGAUUCUAUUGAUUAUAUGUGAGGAUGAGAGUAAAAGCACGAAGGCUGAGGCCAUGCACGUUUUAUUUUAUCAUUGUUUGGUGAGGAUGAAGUAAAAGCAUGAAGGGUUAUGUCAUGCACGUUUUAUUACACCAUUUCUUGGCGAGGACAAGAGUAAAAGCAUGAAGGGUGGUGUCGUGCACUUAUUUCCUUCUACUUCUUUAUUAAAGCCUGUGUUGUGUUGUUUCCUUCGUUAUUGGAUGACUUUUGCUGUAUAUGUAUAUAUAACUACACAGGUUUAUAAGGUAGUCCAGUCUAGCUUCAUCACUACUUCGUCGGGGUUAAGCUAGGUAUUUACCAGCAUAUGGGGUCGGUUGUGCUGAUGCUACACUCUGUAAUCUUUUGCACAAAUUCACGUGUUAGAGAAGCUUCCGAUGCACAGCAGUAGUCAGGGAGCCGUCCACGAGACCCCGAGGUAGCCUUGCUGGUGUCUGCAGGCCCGACGUCUCUUCUUUCAGUUUCCAUGUUCUAUUGACAUUUGUAUUCAAGACAGACUAUGUCCUUUGUUUCAAACUCUUAUUUGUAGUAAAUCUUAGAUAGUCUGUAUUUUGUUGUUACACCAGGUACUGGGUCGAGACCUUUAAUGGUUUUCUAGAUUAUGUUGCUAUAUUUUGUUUUAGACUUCCGCUAAAUUUUACUUUUUGUUGAUUUUAAUUGCUUAUUCAUUGAUAAUUUAAUUGUUUAAUCAUGUAUAAAACAAGAUAAAUUAAUGGGUUCACAGGUUCUUGGCUUGUCUUACUACCACGAGUAGGCGCCAUCAUGACCCCCGAGAGUGGGAAAAUCCGGGUUGUGACAAGUUGGUAUCAUUGCUCUAGGUUGCAUAGGUCUCACAACUCAUGAACAAGCUUAGUAGAGUCUGAGGGAUCGGUACGGAGAAGUCUGUAUCCCCCAGAGGAUACAGAGUUAGGGAAAGUUUCACAUUUGUUAUUUCUUGUGAUCAGCAGUCCAAACCACAGGCAGCUCCCACUAGGGGCAGAGGGCGAGGGCGAAGCCGUGCUAGAGGCCAAGGUAGGGGAAGAUCCCAGCCCCGAGCAGCAGCACCAGUGGCAGAACCUCAUGUUGACUGAUAAGGAGGUUCCAGCCCCAGCUCCAACAGUUCUGGAGGGCCCAGCUCAGGUCCUAGAGGGGUUCAUUAUCACCCUAGUUCUUCAGGAUGCUCUGGUCUGAUUGGUGGGUCUUAUGGAGAGUGUCACCCCAGCAAGUUUUCAUCCUGUAGCACCAGCCAUCUCUCAGGUUGGAGGAGGGGCCCAGACUCCUGCUAUUCGUACUUCAGAGCAAGUAGCUUCCCGGAUUCAGACUCCAGCAGUUCGAUCAGUUAGAGCGGCUCAGCCGGGUGUGGUGGCCCAGGCCGGUGAUUGGGAAGCUAUUCUGCCGAUGCUUUAUGGAGAUUGGAUAGGUUCACCAAUCUUUUCAUUACUACCUUUAUUGGGGCAUCUACCGAGGAUCCUCGGGAUUAUUUGGACAGCUGCCACGAAGUUCUUCGGAACAUGGGUAUUGUUGAGACCAAUGGGGUUGAUUUCGCUAUAUUCCAGUUGUCUGUAUCUGCCAAGACUUUGUGGAGGGAUUAUUGUUUAGCUAGACCAGAAGGAUCUCCAGCCUUGACCUGGGAGCAGUUCACGAAUAUAUUUCUGGAGAAGUUUCUCCCGAUUACUCAGCGAGAGGCCUAUUAGAGGCAGUUCGAGCGUCUCCAUCAGGGAUCCAUGACACUCACCCAGUACAAGACUAGGUUUAUUGAUUUGGCUUGCCAUGCUCUUGUUGUACUUUCCAAAGAGAAGGAGAAAGUGAUAUGGUUUAUUGAUGGACUCAUCCAGCCGAUUCGUCUCCACAUGGUCAGUGAGGCUGGGAAUGAGAUAUCUUUCCAGGAGGCGGCCAAUAUGGCCCGGAGGAUUGAGAUGGUAUUGUCACAAGGGGGUGUCAUAGAGCAGACAAGAGACCCCGUCAGUCAGGUUGAUUCAAUGGUGCCUCGUCUGGAGGCACAGAUUCCUUUGAUAAGGUUCAUCUUUCUAGGCCUUUCUAGUCAUCCCUCCAAGUUUCUUAGAGUGCCCCAAGUGGUCGUGGUUCUCAUGUGCACUAUUCUGAUCAGCAGUCCUUAAGUGCACUGCCAACUUCUAUAAGUGCACCGCCACUUUAGAGUGUCUGUGGUGGUCAUUCAGGUCGACAGGGCCAGCAGACUCAGCAGCCGAGGGCUUGUUACACUUGUGGUGACAUGAGUUAUAUUGCUAGAUUUUUCCUUCGAGCACCGAGCAGUUCUCAGCACCAGGGUUCUCGUGCUAUGGUUCAAGCACCAGGUGUUCCACAGCCCGCCUGCCCAGCCAGCUAGAGGUGGGGCUAGAGGUGCCAGAGGUGGAGCUCAGGCCACCAGAGGUGGAGACCAGCCAGUAGCAGGCCGUCCUAGGGAGGUAGACCAAGGUGGUGGGACCCAGCCCCGAUGUUAUGCUCUUUAGGCCAGGCCCAAGGCAGAGGCUUCAAAUGCAGUUAUUACAGGUACAAUUCUGGUUUGUGAUCGGAUGCUUCAGUGUUGUUUGAUCUAGGGUCUACAUAUUCGUAUGUGUCAACUUAUUUUUCCCCAUACUUGAUCAUGCCUAGUGAUACAUUAGGUAUUCCUGUUUAUGUGUCUACACCAGUGGGUGACUCUGCUAUGGUCGAUCAAGUCCAUCGUUCUUAUGUUGUGGUGAUUGGGGGUCUUGAGACUCAUGUAGAUUUAUUGCUUUUAGACAUGGUUGAUUUCAACAUUAUAUUGGGGAUAGUUAUCACCGUAUCACACUAUCUUGGAUGGACAUGCCAAGACUGUGACCUUAGCUUUACCGGGUGUGCCUUGUUUAGAGUGGAAAAGGACUCUUGGUCAUUCUACCCAUGGUGUUAUCUCAUAUGUGAAGGCUCGGUGUAUGGUUAAGAAGGGGGUGAUUGGCCUAUUUGGCAUAUGUUCGUGAUUCCAAUGCUGAGGUUCCCUCUAUUUAUUCUGUGCUCGUUGUUCGCAACUUCCCUGAUGUCUUUUCUUCAGACCUGCCGGGUAUGACACCUGAUAGGGAUAUUAACUUUUGCAUUGAUGUGGCUCCAGGCACUCAGCCUAUUUCUAUCUCGCCAUAUCGUGUGGCCCCGCCUAAGUUGAAAGAGUUAAAGUAUCAGUUGCAGGACCUGAUGGAGAAGGGUUUCAUUCGACCCAGUGUAUCACCUUGGAGCGUUCUGGUGUUGUUCGUUAAGAAGAAGGAUGGUUCGAUAAGAAUGUGCACUGAUUACCGGCAGUUGAACAAGGUAACAAUCAAGAAUAAAUAUCCGCUGCCUAGAUUGAUGAAUUGUUCGAUCAGCUUCAGGGUGCCAGGAAAUUUUCCAAGAUUGACUUGAGAUCUGGCUACCAUCAGUUGAGGAUUAGGGCUUCCGAUGUCUCUAAGACAGCUUUCCGCACUCGGUACGGGCAUUAUGAGUUCUUGGUUAUGUCAUUCGGGUUGACAAAUGCCCCAUCAGCUUUUAUAGACAUGAUGAACCGAGUGUUGAGGCCUUAUUUGGAUUCAUUUGUGAUAGUUUUCAUUGAUGAUAUAUUGAUAUAUUCCCGCAGCAAAGAGGAGCACGAGCAGCACCUUAGAGUGGUUCUUCAGACUCUGAGGGAUAAUCGGUUAUAUGAUAAGUGCUCGAAGUGUGAAUUCUAGUUGGGUUCAGUUGCAUUUCUGGGUCACGUUAUAUCAACAUAGGGUAUUUAGGUAGACCCAAAGAAGAUUUAGGCAGUCAAGAACUGGCCUAGGCCAGCAUCAGCUACAGAGAUUCAGAGUUUUUUGGGGUUGGAAGGCUACUAUCGACGGUUCGUGGAAGGUUUUCAUCUAUUGCGGUCCCGAUGACCAGAUUGACCCAGAAGGGUGCCCAGCUCAGAUGGUCAGACGAGUGUGAGGUGAGCUUUUAGAGGCUCAAGACAGCCCUGACUACGGCACCGGUGUUGGUUUUGCCCACGGGUUUAGGGCCUUAUACAAUCUAUUGUGAUGCUUCCCGUAUUGGGCUUGGAGCAGUGUUGACGCAGGAUGGCAAGGUCAUUACCUAUGCUUCAAGGUAGUUGAAGAUUCAUGAGAAGAUCUAUCCGGUUCAUGAUUUGGAGUUGGCAACCAAAGUUCACUCAUUGAAGAUUUGUAGGCAUUAUCUACAUGGCAUGGCAUGCGAGGUGUUCACGGAUCAAAAGAGCCUUCAGUAUUUGUUCAAGCAAAAGGAGUUGAAUUUGAGGCAGAGGAGGUGGAUGGAGUUGUUGAAGGAUUAUGACAUCACCAUUCUAUAUAAUCCGGGAAGGCCAAUGUGGUGGACGAUGCUCUGAGUAGGAAGUCAGCCAGUAUGGGCAGUCUUGCUUAUAUUCCGGUGGGUAAGAGGCCGCUUGCUUUGUAUGUUCAGGCUUUAGCCAAUCAAUUCUUGAGGCUAGACAUUUCUUGAGCCCAGUCGGUGUUAGCUUUCACGGUCUCUUGUUCUUCAUUAUUGGAGCGUAUCCGUGAUCAGCAGUAUGACGAUCCCCAUUUGUGUGUCCUUAGAGACACAGUGCAACAUGGAGGUGCCAGGCAUGUUACAUUAGAUGCUGAUGGAGUCUUGAGAUUGCAGGGGUGAGUUUGUGUGCCCAAUGUGGAUGGGCUUUGAGAGUUGAUUUUAGAGGAGGCCAAUAGCUCCCGGUACUCUAUUCAUCCGGGCGUCGUGAAGAUGUAUCAGGAUUUGUGGUAGCAUUAUUAGUGGCGUAGAAUGAAGAAGGAUAUCGUAGCAUAUGUGGCUCAUUAUUUGAAUUGUCAGCAGGUUGAGUAUGAGCAUCAGAGACCUGGUGGUUUAUUUCAGAGGAUUGAUCUUCCCCAAUGGAAGUGGGAGCGGAUCACUAUGGACUUUGAUACUAGGAUUACAAAGACUCGGAAGAAGUUCGACACAGCAUGGUUCGUUGUUAAUAGGCUGACCAAGUCGGCUCAUUUCAUUCCUGUGGCGGUCUCCCAUUCUUCUGAGGGGUUAGCUGAAAUCUAUAUUCGAGAGAUUGUUCGCCUCCAUGGUUUGCCCAUAUCUAUAAUUUCGGACUGGGGUAUGCAGUUUACAUCGUGCUUCUAGAGAGCAGUUCAGCGAGAGUUAGGAAUACGGGUUGAGUUGAGCACAACAUUUCAUCCCCAGACAGACGGUCAGUCCGAGAGGAUUAUUCAAAUUUUGGAGGAUAUGCUCUGAGCUUAUAUUAUUGACUUUGGAAGUUCGUGUGAUCAAUUCUUUCCUUUAGCAGAGUUUGCCUACAACAAUAGCUACCAGUCGAGCAUUCAGAUGGCUCCUUAUGAGGUUUUAUACGGUGGGCGGUGUCGGUCUCCGGUUGGAUGGUUUGAGCUGGGAGAGGCUUGGUUGUUAGUUACAGAUUUUGUUCAGGAGGCCUUGGACAAGGUCAGGAUCAUUCAGGAUAGGCUUCGUUCAGCUCAAUCUAUGCAAAAGAGCUAUGAAGACCCCAAGGUUCAAGAUGUGGCUUUUAUGGUUGGUAAGCGGGUAUUGCUCCGAGUGUCGCCUAUGAAAGGCGUGAUGAGAUUUGGGAAGAAGGGCAAACUUAGCCCCAGGUUCAUUGGUCUGUUUGAGAUUCUUUAUCGAGUGGGAGAGGUGGCUUAUAAACUUGCUUUGCCCCUGAUCUUAUCAACCAUACAUCCAGUGUUUCAUGUGUCCAUGCUUCUGAGGUAUCACGGCGAUCUAGCCCACGUGCUAGAUUUCACCACAGUCCAGCUGGACAUGGACUUAUCUUAUGAGGAGGAGCCAGUAGCUAUUUUGGACCGGCAGGUUUGCCAGUUGAGAUCCAAGAGUUUCCCUUUUGUUCGUGUUUAGCGGAGAGGUCAGCCUCUUGAGGCAUCAACCUGGGAGUCUGAGUCCGAUAUGUGAAGCCAUUAUCCUCAUCUUUUCCCUGACUCAGGUACUUCUCUCUUCUGUCCGUUCGAGGACGAACCGUUGAUUUAGAGGUGGAAAAUGAGGUGAUGACCCAUCAUCACCUAUUUUCUUAUCCAUUUUGUGCUUUUGAAGCCUUGAAAACCUCAUUAGACUUGACUCAAUUUGCCUGCGCAGUCCGGGCACGUAGUCGGGAAGCUUAAAUGUGAAAUUCUAUAAAAAAAAUGCUAAAUUUUGAUAUUAACAUGAAUAAAUUUAAAUUUGGUCAAUAUUUUGGGUAAACCGACCUAGACCCGUGAUUUGACAAUCCCGGAGGGUUCGUACGAAAAUAUGGGACUCGGGCAUAUGCCCGAAAUUGAAUUCUGAGGUCCCGAGCCCGAAAAAAUAAUUUUUAAAGGAAAUUGUUAAGGAAAAUUGAAAUGAAAAUUUAUUAGAACGUGUUGGUAUCGGGUUCGUAUUUUAGUUCUGGCGCCCGGUACAAGUCAUAUAUGUGAUUUAAGAUAUUUCUACAAAAUUUGGUUGAAAAUCGGAUGUCAUUUGACGUGUUUCCGGUUAAAGUUCCAAAUUUGGAAGUUAAUGAAGUUUGAGGAAAAACUAGUGAUUUUUGAGGUUUGAUUCGUUUUUUCUUAUAUUAUUUGGCAAUUUGAUCGCACGGUUAAGUUCCUAGGAUGUUGUUGAGUAAGUGCAUAUGUUUGGUUAGGAGCCCCGAGGGCUCGGGAAUGUAUCAGAGGUGUUUUGGAGUGGUUUCAAACUUAGAAAAUUUGCAGAAUUGGCUUCAGCUGUUGCAGACCCCAUUCCUUCUUCGCAUUCGCAUCCCACCUCCCGUGUUCGUGAUGCUUCAUCUUUUUCAUUUCUUCACGUUAGCGUCCCAACACUCGUAUUUGCGUAGGGUUAUUUUACUUUGAGGGCUGAGUCUUCUUUUCUUCAUCGCGUUCGCAUAAGCAUACUCGCGCUCGCAUAGCUUUGCAGGAUUUCCUCUUCGCGUUCGCAUGCUGUCCCACGAGUUCGCCUAGACCAAUAUCAGGGCCACACCAUUUUUACUCUCCGCGUUCGCGUGCCUCCUUUUGCGAAUGCGAUGGUCUGUAAGUGCUACCCUUCGCGGGCGCGACCAGCCUGUCGCGAACGCACAGGGAAAUUUUGCCUAGUUGUAUUUUUAAUUUCCAGAACAGUAUUGUUGCAGGAUUUUCAUAAACAUUCACGAACUCCUUCUUCUCCAAGUUCCUUAGGAAUCCACUGGAGCUAUCCUUCACCAAAGACUUCUUGGGUUAGUAAUUGUUGCUUGUUUCCUUCCAUUUUCUUCAACAUAUAAUGAAUUCCUAAGCCUAAAACAUGUAAUUAAGGGUAGAAAUUGGGGGCUUGGGUAGAGUUAGGGCUUUUUAAUUUUUCUUGAUUUAGACCUCAUUUUGGAGUCGAAUUUGAAAACAAAUUAUAUACUCGGGCUCGUGGGUGAAUGGGUGAUAUGAUUUUGGUCCGAACCUUGUGUUUUGACCAAGUGAGCCUAGGGUCGAUUUUUGGGAUUUUGGGAAGAAUGCUUGGAAAGCUAUAAUUAGGUGUUUGAUUCGAUUUGUUUAACAUGUACUGAUGUUAUGAAGUCACUUAUGUAUAGAAUUGAUUGAUUUGGAGCAGAAUUCGAAAGGAAAGGCGGUUGUCGAGGAUUGAAUUGGCCAUGGAAGUUUGAGGUAAGUGUUUGGUCUAACCUUAUCUUGAGAGAAUAGGAGUUGAGUCUUAUUUGCUACUUGCUGAUUGUCAAGUACGACGUAUAGGCAUGGUGACGAGUAUCUAUACGCUGGUGUCUAGCAUGACCGUGAGUCUUUAUAUUGCGAAUAUUCUGAUUUUUUUAAUCUUUCAUGCCUAAAUGAUGAUUCAUAUAUGUUGUAAAAAACAUGUGAAAGAAAUUGUGAUCUUUGAACUUCGAGGAGCAUUGGCUCGAGUGGUGAUACGAAUUGUGAAAGUAUAUGAGGUAAUUGAUCCCGUUGGAGCAUUGGCUCAUGUGGUAAAGUGAGAUAUGAAGUAAAAGUGAAAGAAAAAGAAAGAGUAUUUAAAUUGUUCCCUUGCCGGGAUAUUGUUUCUUAUUGAUCAUUUUCCCUUGCCGGGACAGUGAGAUUAUUGAUGUUGUAUCCGUGCCAGGAUUUAAUUGCUUAAUUGAGUUCCCUUGCCGGGACUUCUAUUAUUGUUUUGUUUACCCCCUGCCCCUUGUUUGUGACUGUUAUUUGGGUGAGGAAGAGUGUUAAAGCACGAAGGAUGAUGUCGUGUAUUAUUUUCUAUUGUGAGAAAAGAGUGUUAAAGCACGAAACGUGAUGUCGUGCCGCACGAAUUACCAUUCCGUGACGAUUCUAGUGAUUAUAUGUGAGGAUGAGAGUAAAUGCAUGAAAGGUGAUACGGUGCACAUUUUAUUAAAUGAUUGCUUUGUGAGGAUAAGAGUAAAAGCACGAAAGGUGAUGCCGUACAUGUUUUAUUAUAUCAUUGCUUGGUGAGGAUGAGAGUAAAAGCACGAAGGAUGGUGCCGUACACUUAUUGCUUUAUGUUUCUUUAUUGAAGUCUACGAUGUGUUGUUUCCUUCUUUACUGGACGACUUUUACUUGAAAUUGUUAUUUUCCCCAAAGCAUGAUCCCCCUACCAUAUUGAUUACUUCUCUUUGUAUUUCGAUUCCGAUGUAUAUGUAUAUAUAACUUUGCGGGUUUAUAUGGUAGUCCGGUCUAGCCUCGUCAUUACUUCACCGGGGUUAGGCUAGGCACUUACCAGCAUAUGGGGUCAGUUAUGCUGAUGCUACACUCUGUGCUCUUGUGCAUUGAUCCAGGUGCCGGGGUAGCUUACGGUGGACAGCAGUAGUCAGGGAGCUGACCUUCAGUCCACAAGACUCUGAGGUAGCCUUGCUGGCGUCCACAGGCCCAGCGUUUCUUUUUUCAGUUUCCAUGUUAUGUUGACAUUUGUAUUCUAGACAGACUAUUUCCUUCAUUUAAAACUCUUAUUUGUAGUAAAUCUUAGACAUUCUGUGUUUUGUUGUGAUACCAGGUGUUGGGUAGAGACUUGUAAUGGUUUUCUAGAUGUUGUUGCUAUGUUCAAACUUCCGCUAAAUUUUACUUUUAGUUGAUUUUAAUUGCUUAUUCAUUGAUAAUUUAAUUUUUUAAUCAUGUAUAAAACAAGAUAAGUUAAUGGUUGCAAAGGUUCUUGGCUUUCCUAGCUACCACGAGUAGGCACCAUCCAACCCCUAAGAGUGGGGAAAUCCGGGUCGUGACAAUAUAAGCCUUUCCGAUUUAUAAAGGGUAAUUUCAAAGCGUAGACACUCGUCAAGUGUUGCUAUGUUGAUAAUAAGCACGAGUGGAGUAUGAUGUGGAUCAUGCUUUAUGUAGAAAUAAUAACACGUUGCCAAGUAUUUGCAUGAUAAAAGUGCAUAAAAGCAGUAAAUAACACAGUAAAGGUGAACAUGAAAAAAAACACAAAAGAGAGAAAUCAGUUUAGCUCAUAAAAAUUGUGCGAGAACGUAAAGAAGCACGUAGGGAAAUAGGGAUGGGACAGUCAUAAUAUAGCAGUCUUAGACAAUAUGAAGGAAAUGCAAAGAGGUCAUACAUGUCAUAGCAAAUAAAGGAGAAUAGGGGAAUGGAUGUGCAUGUCGUAGCAAUUUAAAACAAAUAAAGGUGAAUAAGGGAAGAGAUGUGCAUGUCAUAGCAAUUUAGACAAAUAAGGGAAAUAAGGGGAAAUGAUCCACAUAAGUCAAAUUCAUUAUAGUAAGAGCCUAAAUAUAUCCCCAGCAAAGUCGUCAUGCUUUUGUGUCCCUUUUUCUUACGAAAGCGGGCUUCUACGUGUGAUAACUCUUUUCAAUGAGGUAUUAAAAUAUAAGGACCUAAUGAUUUUAAAGGUGCAUUAGGAAAACUAUUUGGAAAUAACUCUAUUUUGACCAGUAUGUGUCACCAAAGAUCAGGUAAGAGCUCAAAUUACCUCAAAGAGAAGGUGUUAGGAAUUCUUAGAAGCCCACAAUUGUGGGUCCCAGCCGAAUUUUAUACUUGUGGAUUAGGUAAUUAAGUUAGGUGAUCAAAUAAGCAAAAAAAGGUAUAGAAGUUGAAGACUCUUAUUGCAAUACAUAAGAAUAAGUGAUCAUUAUUAAUCUUAAAGAUUACAAGGGUACAACUACAUUGGUCUAUGUAAAAUGAAUCAAGUGUAAAUAACUGGUAUAUAAAGAAAAGAGGGACUAAGUUUUUUAGCCUAAAGGAUCACCCCGUGCAACAUAAUAAUAUUUUGCAACUCUGUUAAGGUAGGAAUUGCUCAUAUUAUUCAAUGGGCACAGACUACAUUUUCUGCUACCCAAUUACUAUGUUGAAGUUGUUACUUAAGGCGUUAUAGUUCAAUUCUAAAUUGUAGCCUAUGCAUGCACUACUUGUUCCGUGCCUAUGGUCCAUGAGGCUUUGAACCUACAAUUAGGUAGUUCUAGACUCAUCUUGGAUUGCUCAAAAUGGUAACACUAGGCUACAUCCAAUACAGAUAGGACGGUACACAAAGACAAUUAUGGUCCUAGGUUGGCCUCCACACAUAAGCAAUAAAUACACGCUGACAGAUUAGGUAGUAUACAGUAGACGGUUUCAAGAUUGAGGCAUGUUAGAGUUGUUAAGUCCUAUAGAUAGAAUCUCUAUGUGAUUCCAGUAUUAUACAGGAAGUGUUGCAGUUUUUGGGCUAACAUAUGGGCAGAUUAGUGCGUUACUAAUCCUAUAAGCAUGAUUUCUACAUGCUUAUGUGAUGAGACAAUGAAGAUAUAUGAGUUACCAGAUUAUUAGUGCUGAUUUUAUAAGCAAUCUUUCUUAGGCGGAUGUCAAUGUCCUAUAGCAUGGUCUCUAACAGUUGCAAUAUAGGCAAUGAAGUCACUUGAAAGAAACGCCAAUAAACAUCCUAUAGGUAGGAUUUCUAACAAUUGAAAUAUAUUUUAUAUAAUUAUCCCUACAUGCAUGCCAGCUAAGUAUGAUAAUAACAGAGCGACUAAUUAAUUGAUUAGAAUCCUAUCGUCAUGAUAUCUAAAGGAGCAGCAUGUUAAAAUCAAUAGAAAUAAUUAAUUGAAAACCUAUUGACAUGGUGUCUAGAUGGGCAGUAACAAAUAUGUGUUAUUCAUCCUAUAGACAUGUUGCCAAAGUAUUGAAUAGUAGACAUGGAAAUAGUGUAGCGAUUACUUUAGUUGAUAUAUUUUGACAAUUAGGUGAAGUGAGUGUGUGAUUCCUAUAGACAUGAUUUCUGUUGAUGUGCAGAAACAAAGAAAGCUAAAUAAAAUAUCACAUCAAGUAGGGGAGGGGUUUAUAUAGUGGCAAAGAUCAGCACGCAAAGUAAGCAAAUACAGUUAAUCGAAAACAAAUAAAGAAAGAGAAGCAUGCAAAAUCACUCAGAAUUAAUUUAAGAGAAAAUCAAGUAAAACCUAGUUCAAAAUGAGAACACAGAUGGUCGAAAAUCUCAUUGAAUCAGACCCAAAUAGCCUGGUAAUGAGUGUAUAUAGACGAAAUAUCGUCUAAAUCUCGAAGGGCAAUGGCACUCGAUUUGGGAGAUUGGUACUUUCCAAAAACAGGGAGAGUACUAUGUAAUACCAUAGUCUUGUAAUAAACAACGAGAUAAUCCAUAAAAGAUAAGUAGAUCACCGAGGGAAUCCAUUACUUGAUCGUAUUUGGAAAAGAUUGAGGAAGGCGGCUACUAGGGUUUGUGAGGAGGAAGGUUCGAGAGGUUCUGGGAGCAGCGGAAUAGGGAAUGUCUUUAGGGUUAGGGGUUUGGUGGAUAAAAACGGGGAGAUGGUUUGUGGGUCAUUGAUCUCUGAGAUCAACGGUCAAGAUUAAAAGGGAGAUCGGUCGGGUCAUAAAAUGGGUCACGUCCGGGUUGUCUAAAAGGUUUUUUUUGUUUGGGCUGUAGAAAGGCCAAGUGGUUUGGACCUAUUUUGGUCCGAAAUUAGCCUAAAAUUGGGCUAACAAUUAAAUACACGAAAUAUAUAUAAUAAAUUAUAAAAUAUUAAUUAUGCAUUAAUAUGAUUGAAAAUAAUAACUUAAUAAAUAUAAAAAUUCUAUUUUAGCGUGAAUAAUGUAAUAAUUAAAAUUAUGCAUAACAUAUAGGGUAUAAUUGUAAAAUUGUGUAAACAGCUUAAAAAUACAAAUAUAAUCAUAUGAAAUAAAGUAAAAAUAUUAUAAAACAUAUAUGUGGAAGAAAAUAGUAAUUUUGGAUAAUUAAGUCAUCACAAAAUAAUUUAAAGGGGUUAUUAAUACAUAUUCAAGUAAUAUAAAUGCAAGAAAAUCAAUUUUAAAGCUUUAAAAAUAAUAAAAAGUCAUAGAAAAUACUUAUAUGUCCCCCAUAAAUUAGAUAAUAAUGCAAAAAGAUAUUUUGAAAGUAUACAUGACAUUUAUAAAAAUAUAAGAGAAAAUUUGAGUAUCAACGCCUGCUAGAUGCUUUCUACCCGACCUUACCUAUGAAUAGAGUGAAGAUGUAUUCCAUUAAUUAAACCAUGAGAGGAUUUCAUGAACAGCACCAAUUCUAUUACCAUAAGAUACCACAUUUAUAAUUUCCAAAAAUACAUUGAAAAUUCAUAGUUCGAAGUGGAAUAUGUGAUACAAAUACAACAUUUCUGGUUUGACUUUUCGAAACCAAGAUAGAACUCACACCAUGUCUAUCGAGCCUCUAAUGAAUACAAAAGAGUAAUGUGAUGGUGCCGUCAACAAGGCAUGGCUAUAUCUAGAAACACUAUACAUAAGGAAUAAAAGAUACACGACACCAAAAUGAAGUGGGGUUCACCAAGUCAGGUGAGGAGAGGGUGUACCGCUAUCACUGAUCAAUGUCCUCUACUAUGGAACCACCUGCAUCCAUUAAGUUGCAGUGCCCCGGAAGACGUUAGUACAUAUGGAAUAGUAUUAGUAUGUAAGGCUAAACACCGUCUCAAAGAAUCAAGUAACAGUACAAGGACAAACAACAUAAGAUCAAUGAGAGCCUCAAACAAUAUGAAACAUCAAGUUAAGAAGAAGAUAAAAUAAUCUCCAAGUAAAUGUCGUUAUUUUUAAGUUGGGAUAUUUUUGGCACCAAUAUACUAUCGUGUCUUUAGCAUGGAGUCCGAUCACAACCCGAUCGGUUAAGCCAUCUCACUCAAAGACAUCCAAUCACAAUACUAUCGUACUUUUAGUACAAAGUCUGAGCUCAACCUGAUGGGCUAAGCCGUCUCACCCCAAGACAUCCUACCAUAGCACCACCAUGUGUGCAACCAAUCUCUACUCGAUUGGCUAGGUUGUCUCUCCACGUGUGACAUGUGAGUCGACAUCCAAUCUAAGGUUAGCAAUAAUCUCAUUACAAUCAUGGGGGGAAAUCUUAACACAUCAAUCUCAUCCCAUUUAAGGGGAACAAUCUGAACACAUCACUAUAGGGAUUUACCACUCAGUCACACCUACUCCGACACAUGUAGUUUCAGGAUUGGAUUGUUUUAACCCAUCCUUCCUCGGUGACUAAUAAUACUCCUAAGAACAUUUUUGUUUUACAUACAAAGGAAAUAGAAAUACAAAUACAUUCACGUCAUAACCUUUCAAACCAUAUCUAGCUUUAUUAGUACUUUCAACCACUCACAACAUCAUCAUUUCAUUGGCUCUUUUGGUCAUACAUAUGAUUCUUCAUUCAUAGCACGGUGGACGUAUCUCAUUUACUUUCAAGGUUCAUCAUCAUAAAAAAACAACAUAUAUAAUAUUCUAGAAAUCAUAACUCUAAGUUCAUUAGUAAUGAAGGCUUUAAAUACAAUGAAUUUCUUUCCACAGAAAUGGAGCAAAAUGAUUGGUAAUUUAAGCACAAGAUAAAAUCAUAAACGAGUAACACAUUAUUUAUUCUUGAAAAUAAUUUUCCCCAAAAGGGAAAUACACAAUUUUGACUCUUGAAUAUGUAAGAACUCAAAACACACUGAAAAUACUUACAAAGCAUAGUAUGGUGAUCACGAUUGAAACAAGGGUCAAAUCAUAGGAAUUAGUUUAAACAAUCACAUUUGAACAUGACUUGAGCACAUAAGCUAUUAGGCAAAUCUAUUUUUCGAGUCAAUGAGGAACAUUAAAUCAAGGCUUAUUUCAUAAUCUUUCAUACAUCAUUUCAUUUUAUUUCAUUGCCUUUAACGGCCACAAGUAUAACUUUUUCUUGGCACGGCAGCCACACUUUAUAUCUCCAAUUCACUUCUUUUAUUUUCAAACAUGUAUAUACAUUAUCAUCAAUAAGAAAAUUUAAAAUCAAAGCCUUAAGUAUAAAUAUGAGCAAUAUGGGUCUUAGGCGCAUUGAGUUUUCAUUCCAAGUUAAGCAUAAUAGACUUUCAAUUGAAACACGAAUUGAAGUCAUAAAAUUUUAAUACAUAAAUCCUACUUGAACACAUUCUCGAAGAGAUCAUAAUAGGAGAAAUUGGUACACGUUCUGAGUAUAUGCAUUUUUCAACACGAAGGUUACCUGGGAUAAUUGAUUUUAUAAGGAACAACUCGGAACAUGAGAAUUAGGAAUCUGAGCCAACCAUAUUUGAAACUUACAGGAACAUCAUGGAAUUCCACUCUAAGAGAGAAUUUUAGCCAACAUACCUUGCUUGAGGUUUUCUUAGGUUAUCACAACUUCCCAAUACUCUUAGCAAAUUCAAUUCAGAUUGAUGAUGGUCUAGUGAAUGGCUUCCUUGAUUCUUGAAGAUUGGGCUAAGAAUGGAUAAAAAUUGGUAAAAUUGAAAGGUAUUCUCCCCCUAUCUCUAAGAUCAUCUCACUUCUCUCUAAAUAUAUCAUAUUUUUACCUUCAAAAUGAGUCCCAAAGGAUUUUAAUCAAAAUGGGGUCAGGUUAUAAAAAUAGAAAAUGGACCUCCGAACUCAACUCUGUGGUCGCAUAGUGAAUUGCAGAAUAGGUAUGCGGUUCGCAUAAGGAACCACAAAAUUGACUUUCAUAAACUGGGCUGUCCUAGUCAAGUUUACGGCCAGGUCAAUGGUCCGCAGACCAGUUAUGCGACGGAAGUGCGGAUCACAUAAUGGAAACGCGAUCACAUAAUGGCUGCAAAAAGGACCUUCAAACAAGGAACAGUCAUGGCAAUGCAUUGAAUAUUAUUCCGUAGGUCUUUUUAUGGGCCAAAAAAUUUUAGCCGAUAUGGGUCUGAUCACCCAGGCCAUGUAGAUGUAUUGGGUUAUAAUACAAGAUAAUUUGAGAAUCUGGUGGAACUUCAGUUUUAUU